GAUGAACGCUGGCGGCGUGCCUAAUACAUGCAAGUCGAGCGAACGGACGAGAAGCUUGCUUCUCUGAUGUUAGCGGCGGACGGGUGAGUAACACGUGGAUAACCUACCUAUAAGACUGGGAUAACUUCGGGAAACCGGAGCUAAUACCGGAUAAUAUAUUGAACCGCAUGGUUCAAAAGUGAAAGACGGUCUUGCUGUCACUUAUAGAUGGAUCCGCGCUGCAUUAGCUAGUUGGUAAGGUAACGGCUUACCAAGGCAACGAUGCAUAGCCGACCUGAGAGGGUGAUCGGCCACACUGGAACUGAGACACGGUCCAGACUCCUACGGGAGGCAGCAGUAGGGAAUCUUCCGCAAUGGGCGAAAGCCUGACGGAGCAACGCCGCGUGAGUGAUGAAGGUCUUCGGAUCGUAAAACUCUGUUAUUAGGGAAGAACAUAUGUGUAAGUAACUAUGCACAUCUUGACGGUACCUAAUCAGAAAGCCACGGCUAACUACGUG
RNAcentral lists this ribosomal RNA (497 nucleotides) under uncultured bacterium. Its description in RNAcentral is "partial 16S ribosomal RNA". It matches the Rfam family "Bacterial small subunit ribosomal RNA", at positions 28 to 507 of the family's 1533-position model. The record is from RNAcentral.